RNAcentral lists this ribosomal RNA (253 nucleotides) under uncultured prokaryote. RNAcentral describes it as "partial 16S ribosomal RNA". It matches the Rfam family "Bacterial small subunit ribosomal RNA", at positions 524 to 776 of the family's 1533-position model. The record is from RNAcentral.
UACGUAGGGGGCAAGCGUUAUCCGGAUUUACUGGGUGUAAAGGGCGUGUAGGCGGCUCCGCAAGUCAGAUGUGAAAUUCCCAGGCUUAACCUGGGGGCUGCAUCGGAAACUGCGGAACUUGAGUAUUGGAGAGGUUAGUGGAAUUCCUAGUGUAGCGGUGAAAUGCGUAGAUAUUAGGAGGAACACCAGUGGCGAAGGCGGCUAUCUGGACAAUAACUGACGCUGAGGCGCGAAAGCGUGGGGAGCAAACAGG